Molecule: ribosomal RNA, 433 nt
Filed under: uncultured bacterium
Lineage: Bacteria
Description: partial 16S ribosomal RNA
Rfam family: Bacterial small subunit ribosomal RNA
Source: RNAcentral
AACGAACGCUGGCGGCAUGCCUAACACAUGCAAGUCGAACGAGACCUUCGGGUCUAGUGGCGCACGGGUGCGUAACGCGUGGGAACCUGCCCUUAGGUUCGGAAUAACUCCCCGAAAGGGGUGCUAAUACCGGAUAAUGUCUUCGGACCAAAGAUUUAUCGCCUUUGGAUGGGCCUGCGUUGGAUUAGCUAGUUGGUAGGGUAAAAGCCUACCAAGGCGACGAUCCAUAGCUGGUCUGAGAGGAUGAUCAGCCACACUGGGACUGAGACACGGCCCAGACUCCUACGGGAGGCAGCAGUGGGGAAUAUUGGACAAUGGGCGAAAGCCUGAUCCAGCAAUGCCGCGUGAGUGAUGAAGGCCUUAGGGUUGUAAAGCUCUUUUACCCGGGAUGAUAAUGACAGUACCGGGAGAAUAAGCGCCGGCUAACUCCGUG